GGUCGGGUGGCGCAAUGGUAGCGCGUUGUCUUCCGGUGACAUGACUCGUAAGAAUCAGCAAUCUGAACUGGCAAAGGCUCUGGGUUCAAAUCCCAGCUCGAUCG
This is a non-coding RNA of Podospora didyma, 104 nucleotides long. NCBI's taxonomy places the organism in Eukaryota, Fungi, Ascomycota, Sordariomycetes, Sordariales, Podosporaceae. The record is from the annotation of a GenBank genome assembly.